GACGAACGCUGGCGGCGUGCUUAACACAUGCAAGUCGAACGGAAAGGCCCUGCUUGCAUGGUACUCGAGUGGCGAACGGGUGAGUAACACGUGGGUGAUCUGCCCUGCACUUCGGGAUAAGCCUGGGAAACUGGGUCUAAUACCGGAUAGGAGCCAUUUUUAGUGUGAUGGUUGGAAAGUUUUUUCGGUGUAGGAUGAGCUCGCGGCCUAUCAGCUUGUUGGUGGGGUAAUGGCCUACCAAGGCGGCGACGGGUAGCCGGCCUGAGAGGGUGGACGGCGACACUGGGACUGAGAUGCGGCCCAGACUCCUACGGGAGGAAGCAGUGGGGAAUAUUGCACAAUGGGCGCAAGCCUGAUGCAGCGACGCCGCGUGGGGGAUGACGGCCUUCGGGUUGUAAACUCCUUUCGCUAGGGACGAAGCUUUUUGUGACGGUACCUAGAUAAGAAGCACCGGCUAACUACGUG
RNAcentral lists this ribosomal RNA (465 nucleotides) under uncultured bacterium. RNAcentral describes it as "partial 16S ribosomal RNA". It matches the Rfam family "Bacterial small subunit ribosomal RNA", at positions 28 to 507 of the family's 1533-position model. The record is from RNAcentral.